Molecule: long non-coding RNA, 847 nt
Organism: Bombus huntii
Lineage: Eukaryota; Metazoa; Arthropoda; Insecta; Hymenoptera; Apidae
Exons: 2
Source: RefSeq, a predicted model, not a curated record
UGCAGAUUCUCUAUAGUCGCGCUUAUAGACUAUAGUCCGCUACAUAUUUUAUAUCUUAUCAGUUAUAUCAUGUAACUUUUUUCUUAAAUAGAAAUGCGGUCUACUUUAAAUAAAGCAAAAUGAAACAAUAAAUUUGUAAAUUAUAGCGCUAUGUUUUGGUCUUGGGAGAUAUCCCACUAAAGGGAUGAUCAAUUUUAUUACGAUAGAUAUACAGUUCUUUUACUGUUACGUUAUCCGAGUGACCUAGCCACAGGAACGCAAGAAUUAAUUAUUAAUAUGGAUGAAAAAUUCGAUAGACAGAUACUGAUUUUAUCAUAUGUUUCAGCAUGAUAAAAUAAAGAAUUUGUACAUAAAUUUAUGUAAUUUUAAUCAUUUUAUAAAUCUUGGCUAUAUACAAACCAAUAAUAUCGACUCUUAUAGUUAAGGUAUUUAACCAUAAAUAAUUACUGACUAAAUAAAAACCUUCGACAUAUCUUCAAAAGAUUCUUUAUACUUAUCGUACUAAAAUUUUGAUCCUUAUUUUUAAAAUUUUUACUUUUAUCAAUUAUCAUUUGAUAUAUCACUCGUUUAAAUGGUGUAAUAUUUACCUUUAUUAUUGAUAUAAAUUUGUGAAAAUAAAUGAAGUUAACAAACAAGUAAAAGGAUUGAUUAAAUUGAUAUGCAACGUAUGUUAUGAAUCAUUUUUUAUUUCAGUGUUGUAUGUGUUGAAGGUUCGGAUUAUUAAAAUAUUCACAUCAUUAAUCAUGUAAUACAUAUAUAUGUAUGUACAUUCGUAUUUUAGUCGAACAAACCAAAUCCCAUAUCUUCGUCUUCUGACUCAGAUUCCUCUUUCUUUUCUUCUUUCUUU